UGGGGAAUAUUGCACAAUGGGCGAAAGCCUGAUGCAGCAACGCCGCGUGAGUGAUGAAGGUCUUCGGAUUGUAAAGCUCUGUCUUUUGGGACGAUAAUGACGGUACCAAAGGAGGAAGCCACGGCUAACUACGUGCCAGCAGCCGCGGUAAUACGUAGGUGGCGAGCGUUGUCCGGAUUUACUGGGCGUAAAGGGUGCGUAGGCGGAUGUUUAAGUGAGAUGUGAAAUACCCGGGCUUAACUUGGGUGCUGCAUUUCAAACUGGAUAUCUAGAGUGCAGGAGAGGAGAAUGGAAUUCCUAGUGUAGCGGUGAAGUGCGUAGAGAUUAGGAAGAACACCAGUGGCGAAGGCGAUUCUCUGGACUGUAACUGACGCUGAGGCACGAAAGCGUGGGUAGCAAACAGGAUUAGAUACCCUGGUAGUCCACGCCGUAAACGAUGAGUACUAGGUGUAGGAGGUAUCGACCCCUUCUGUGCCGCAGUAAACACAUUAAGUACUCCGC
Molecule: ribosomal RNA, 501 nt
Filed under: uncultured bacterium
Lineage: Bacteria
Description: partial 16S ribosomal RNA
Rfam family: Bacterial small subunit ribosomal RNA
Source: RNAcentral